This 253-nucleotide unclassified non-coding RNA is filed under the name uncultured Planctomycetales bacterium. Its description in RNAcentral is "contains 16S-23S intergenic spacer region". It matches the Rfam family "Bacterial small subunit ribosomal RNA", at positions 524 to 776 of the family's 1533-position model. Lineage: Bacteria; Pseudomonadati; Planctomycetota; Planctomycetia; Planctomycetales. The record is from RNAcentral.
UACAGAGGCCCCGAGCGUUAUUCGGAAUCACUGGGCUUACAGGGUGCGUAGGCGGCCUUCCAAGUCAGGUGUGAAAUCCCACGGCUCAACCGUGGAACUGCGCUUGAAACUGGAUGGCUUGAGUCAGCUAGAGGUACACGGAACUUCCGGUGGAGCGGUGAUAUGUGUUGAUAUCGGAAGGAACACCAGAGGCGAAAGCGGUGUACUGGGGCUGUUCUGACGCUGAGGCACGAAAGCCAGGGUAGCGAACGGG